UCUAAGCCAUGCGAGUCAACAUAGCAAUAUGUGGCAUACGGCUCAGUAACACGUANUCAACAUGCCCAGGGGACGUGGAUACCUCGGGAAACUGAGGAUAAACCGCGAUAGGUCAUCACUUCUGGAAUGGGUAAUGACUUAAAUCUAUGUGGCCCCUGGAUUGGACUGCGGCCGAUCAGGCUGUUGGUGAGGUAAUGGCCCACCAAACCUGUAACCGGUACGGGCUCUGAGAGGAGGAGCCCGGAGAUGGGCACUGAGACAAGGGCCCANGCCCUAUGGGGCGCANCAUGCGCGAAACCUCUGCAAUAGGCGAAAGCUUGACAGGGUUACUCUGANUGAUUUCCGUUAAGGAGAUCUUUUGGCACCUCUAAAAAUGGUGCANAAUAANGGGUGGGCAAGUCUGGUGCCAGCCGCCGCGGUA
RNAcentral lists this ribosomal RNA (421 nucleotides) under uncultured crenarchaeote. RNAcentral's name for it is "bacterial SSU rRNA". It matches the Rfam family "Archaeal small subunit ribosomal RNA", at positions 43 to 472 of the family's 1478-position model. Lineage: Archaea; Thermoproteati; Thermoproteota. The record is from RNAcentral.